AUGCAAGUCGAACGGAGUUAUUUUGGAAAGCCCUUCGGGACUGGAAUCUAUAACUUAGUGGCGGACGGGUGAGUAACGCGUGAGCAAUCUGCCUUUAGGAGGGGGAUAACAGUCGGAAACGGCUGCUAAUACCGCAUAAUGCAUCAAUUUCGCAUGUUAUUGAUGCCAAAGGAGCAAUCCGCCUUUAGAUGAGCUCGCGUCUGAUUAGCUAGUUGGCGGGGUAACGGCCCACCAAGGCGACGAUCAGUAGCCGGACUGAGAGGUUGAACGGCCACAUUGGGACUGAGACACGGCCCAGACUCCUACGGGAGGCAGCAGUGGGGAAUAUUGCGCAAUGGGGGCAACCCUGACGCAGCAACGCCGCGUGAUUGAAGAAGGCCUUCGGGUUGUAAAGAUCUUUAAUCAGGGACGAAAUUUGACGGUACCUGAAGAAUAAGCUCCGGCUAACUACGUGCCAGCAGCCGCGGUAAUACGUAGGGAGCAAGCGUUAUCCGGAUUUACUGGGUGUAAAGGGCGCGCAGGCGGGCCGGUAAGUUGGAAGUGAAAUCCCGGGGCUUAACCCCGGAACUGCUUUCAAAACUGCUGGUCUUGAGUGAUGGAGAGGCAGGCGGAAUUCCGUGUGUAGCGGUGAAAUGCGUAAAUAUAC
RNAcentral lists this ribosomal RNA (646 nucleotides) under uncultured Oscillospiraceae bacterium. RNAcentral's name for it is "bacterial SSU rRNA". It matches the Rfam family "Bacterial small subunit ribosomal RNA", at positions 55 to 699 of the family's 1533-position model. Lineage: Bacteria; Bacillati; Bacillota; Clostridia; Eubacteriales; Oscillospiraceae. The record is from RNAcentral.